Molecule: ribosomal RNA, 324 nt
Filed under: uncultured eukaryote
Lineage: Eukaryota
Description: partial 18S ribosomal RNA
Rfam family: Eukaryotic small subunit ribosomal RNA
Source: RNAcentral
CCCUUAGAUGUCCUGGGCUGCACGCGCGCUACACUGAUGUGUCCAGUAAGCACCUAACCUCUUCCGAAAGGAACGGGUAACCUUUGCAAAGCACAUCGUGAUGGGGAUAGAUUAUUGCAAUUAUUAGUCUUGAACGAGGAAUUCCUAGUAAGCACAAGUCAUCAGCUUGUGUUGAUUACGUCCCUGCCCUUUGUACACACCGCCCGUCGCUCCUACCGAUUGAAUGUUCCGGUGAGCUCUACGGACUGCGCGGUCUGCAGUUUCUGCGUUCCGUGCGGAAAGUUGCGCAAACCUUAACAUUUAGAGGAAGGAGAAGUCGUAACA